GUCUACAGUCAUGCUACCCUGAACAAGCCCGAUCCCGUCUAAUCUCGGAAGCUAAGCAGGGUCGGGUCUGGUUAGUACUUGGAUGGGAGACCACCUAAAAAGACCAGGUGCUGUAGGCG
Molecule: ribosomal RNA, 119 nt
Filed under: Pteropus alecto (black flying fox)
Lineage: Eukaryota; Metazoa; Chordata; Mammalia; Chiroptera; Pteropodidae
Source: RNAcentral